GGUACCAUAGCUCAGUUGGUAGAGCAACGGACUGAAAAUCCGUGUGUCGCUGGUUCGACCCCAGCUGGUACCA
RNAcentral lists this transfer RNA (73 nucleotides) under Alteromonas macleodii. RNAcentral's name for it is "tRNA-Phe". It matches the Rfam family "tRNA". Rfam says of the family: Transfer RNA (tRNA) molecules are approximately 80 nucleotides in length. The record is from RNAcentral. RNAcentral also lists the same sequence under 4 other names. Lineage: Bacteria; Pseudomonadati; Pseudomonadota; Gammaproteobacteria; Alteromonadales; Alteromonadaceae.